Molecule: ribosomal RNA, 776 nt
Filed under: uncultured bacterium
Lineage: Bacteria
Description: bacterial SSU rRNA
Rfam family: Bacterial small subunit ribosomal RNA
Source: RNAcentral
AUGCGUAGAUAUUGGGAAGAACACCAGUGGCGAAGGCGCUCUACUGGGCCGUAACUGACGCUGAGGGACGAAAGCUAGGGGAGCGAAAGGGAUUAGAUACCCCUGUAGUCCUAGCUGUAAACGAUGGAUACUAGGCGUUGGACGUAUCGACCCGUUCAGUACCGCAGCCAACGCGAUAAGUAUCCCGCCUGGGGAGUACGCACGCAAGUGUGAAACUCGAAGGAAUUGACGGGGGCCCGCACAAGCGGUGGAGUAUGUGGUUUAAUUCGAUGCAACGCGAAGAACCUUACCAGGGCUUGACAUCCCUCGAAUCCACUUGAAAGAGAGGAGUGCCUUCGGGAGCGAGGAGACAGGUGGUGCAUGGCUGUCGUCAGCUCGUGUCGUGAGAUGUUGGGUUAAGUCCCGCAACGAGCGCAACCCACGUCCUUAGUUGCCAUCAUUAAGUUGGGCACUCUGGGGAGACUGCCGGGGACAACUCGGAGGAAGGUGUGGAUGACGUCAAGUCAUCAUGCCCCUUACGUUCUGGGCUACACACGUACUACAAUGCUUCGGACAAAGAGCAGCCAACUAGCGAUAGUGAGCUAAUCUCAUAAACCGAGGCACAGUUCAGAUUGCAGGCUGCAACUCGCCUGCAUGAAGGAGGAAUCGCUAGUAAUCGCCGGUCAGCAUACGGCGGUGAAUACGUUCCCGGGCCUUGUACACACCGCCCGUCACACCAUGGGAGUUGGCCACGCCCGAAGUCGUUACUCUAACCGUUCGCGGAGGAGGGCGCCGAA